GUGCAUCAAUGUCUUUGCUGUGCUCACUGCCUUCAGAAUCCUUUUCUUGAUGGUGUAUCUUUCUUGUGCAACUGGGAUUCCCCUUCAUAUUAUUUUCAGUAAAACAAAUCUGCUCAUUCCAUGAUGGAAUAGCUGAGCAGCUUCCAUAACUACUCUCCAUAUCAUUGAUGAUCUUUGUAUCCUCAACUAUUAAAGUGCUAUUGCUACCAAAACCAACAGUUUGGACAUCAUUCCUAGACCUACCCACUACCUUAAGUUUGGGCUUGUUCACUGUUUUAC
RNAcentral lists this unclassified non-coding RNA (279 nucleotides) under Hevea brasiliensis (rubber tree). Lineage: Eukaryota; Viridiplantae; Streptophyta; Magnoliopsida; Malpighiales; Euphorbiaceae. The record is from RNAcentral.